This 1330-nucleotide ribosomal RNA is filed under the name uncultured archaeon. RNAcentral's name for it is "bacterial SSU rRNA". It matches the Rfam family "Archaeal small subunit ribosomal RNA". The record is from RNAcentral.
GCAGUAUUCUAGUAAUAGAUGCGAAAGGCUCAGUAACACGUCGCUAAUCUGCCCUAAGGUCAGGAAUAACUACGGGAAACUGUGGCUAAUACCUGAUAAGGAACAAAUACUGGAAUGUAUUGUUCUCUAAACUCGAGCCUUAGGAUGAGGUGGCGGCCGAUUAGGUUGUUGGCGGUGUAAUGGACCACCAAGCCGAAGAUCGGUACGGGUCAUGAGAGUGAGAGCCCGGAGACGGAAUCUGAGACAAGAUUCCGGGCCCUACGGGGCGCAGCAGGCGCGAAACCUUUACACUGCACGCCAGUGCGAUAAGGGGACUCCAAGUGCGAGGGCAUAUCGUCCUCGCUUUUCGCUACCGUAAGGAGGUAGCAGAAUAAGAGCUGGGCAAGACCGGUGCCAGCCGCCGCGGUAAUACCGGCAGCUCAAGUGAUGACCGCUAUUAUUGGGCCUAAAGCGUCCGUAGCCGGCCACACAAGUCUAUCGGGAAAUCUCCCCGCUUAACGGGGAGGCGUCCGGUGGAAACUGUGUGGCUUGGGACCGGGAGACCAGAGGGGUACGUCCGGGGUAGGAGUGAAAUCCUGUAAUCCUGGACGGACCACCGGUGGCGAAAGCGCCUCUGGAGAACGGAUCCGACGGUGAGGGACGAAAGCUCGGGUCACGAACCGGAUUAGAUACCCGGGUAGUCCGAGCCGUAAACGAUGUCUGCUAGGUGUGUCACAGGCUACGAGCCUGUGGUGUGCCGUAGGGAAGCCGAGAAGCAGACCGCCUGGGAAGUACGUCCGCAAGGAUGAAACUUAAAGGAAUUGGCGGGGGAGCACUACAACCGGAGGAGCCUGCGGUUUAAUUGGAUUCAACGCCGGAAAUCUCACCGGGGGCGACAGCAAUAUGAAGGUCAGGCUGAAGACCUUACCGGAUUAGCUGAGAGGUGGUGCAUGGCCGUCGUCAGUUCGUACUGUGAAGCAUCCUGUUAAGUCAGGCAACGAGCGAGACCCACGUCCACAGUUGCCAGCAUACCCUCCGGGGUGAUGGGUACACUGUGGAGACCGCCGCUGCUAAAGCGGAGGAAGGAAUGGGCAACGGUAGGUCAGUAUGCCCCGAAUCUCCCGGGCUACACGCGGGCUACAAUGGUUGGUACAAUGGGCAUCUACCCCGAAAGGGGAAGGAAAUCUCUUAAAGCCAAUCGUAGUUCGGAUUGAGGGCUGCAACUCGCCCUCAUGAAGCUGGAAUCCGUAGUAAUCGCGUUUCAACAGAACGCGGUGAAUACGUCCCUGCUCCUUGCACACACCGCCCGUCAAACCACCCGAGUAGGGUCUGGAUGAGGGUGUGUUUACUU